Molecule: ribosomal RNA, 328 nt
Filed under: uncultured bacterium
Lineage: Bacteria
Description: bacterial SSU rRNA
Rfam family: Bacterial small subunit ribosomal RNA
Source: RNAcentral
AUUGAACGCUGGCGGCAUGCCUUACACAUGCAAGUCGAACGGCAGCACGGGAGCAAUCCUGGUGGCGAGUGGCGAACGGGUGAGUAAUAUAUCGGAACGUGCCCAGUCGGUGGGGAUAACGUAGACGAAAGCUACGCUAAUACCGCAUACUAUCUAUGGAUAGAAAGGCGGGGGAUCGCAAGACCUCGCGCGUAUUGGAGCGGCCGAUAUCAGAUUAGGUAGUUGGUGAGGUAAAGGCUCACCAAGCCGACGAUCUGUAGCUGGUCUGAGAGGACGACCAGCCACACUGGGACUGAGACACGGCCCAGACUCCUACGGGAGGCAGCAG